RNAcentral lists this microRNA (23 nucleotides) under Neolamprologus brichardi. RNAcentral describes it as "nbr-miR-10572". Lineage: Eukaryota; Metazoa; Chordata; Actinopteri; Cichliformes; Cichlidae. The record is from miRBase by way of RNAcentral.
UUUUAGGCUCCCGUCAGAUCUCG